ACUAUCGUUAACUGAAUACAUAGGUUAACGAGGCGAACCGGGGGAACUGAAACAUCUAAGUACCCCGAGGAAAAGAAAUCAACCGAGAUUCCCCCAGUAGCGGCGAGCGAACGGGGAGCAGCCCAGAGUCUGAAUCAGCUUGUGUGUUAGUGGAACGGUCUGGAAAGUCCGACGGUACAGGGUGAUAGUCCCGUACACCAAAAUGCACAGGCUGUGAACUCGAAGAGUAGGGCGGGACACGUGGUAUCCUGUCUGAAUAUGGGGGGACCAUCCUCCAAGGCUAAAUACUCCUGACUGACCGAUAGUGAACCAGUACCGUGAGGGAAAGGCGAAAAGAACCCCGGCGAGGGGAGUGAAAAAGAACCUGAAACCGUGUACGUACAAGCAGUGGGAGCACCUUCGGGUGUGACUGCGUACCUUUUGUAUAAUGGGUCAGCGACUUAUAUUCUGUAGCAAGGUUAACCGUAUAGGGGAGCCGCAGGGAAACCGAGUCUUAACUGGGCGUUAAGUUGCAGGGUAUAGACCCGAAACCCGGUGAUCUAGCCAUGGGCAGGUUGAAGGUUGGGUAACACUAACUGGAGGACCGAACCGACUAAUGUUGAAAAAUUAGCGGAUGACUUGUGGCUGGGGGUGAAAGGCCAAUCAAACCGGGAGAUAGCUGGUUCUCCCCGAAAGCUAUUUAGGUAGCGCCUCGUGAAUUCAUCUUCGGGGGUAGAGCACUGUUUCGGCUAGGGGGUCAUCCCGACUUACCAACCCGAUGCAAACUACGAAUACCGAAGAAUGUUAUCACGGGAGACACACGGCGGGUGCUAACGUCCGUCGUGAAGAGGGAAACAACCCAGACCGCCAGCUAAGGUCCCAAAGUCAUGGUUAAGUGGGAAACGAUGUGGGAAGGCACAGACAGCCAGGAUGUUGGCUUAGAAGCAGCCAUCAUUUAAAGAAAGCGUAAUAGCUCACUGGUCGAGUCGGCCUGCGCGGAAGAUGUAACGGGGCUAAACCAUGCACCGAAGCUGCGGCAGCGACACUAUGUGUUGUUGGGUAGGGGAGCGUUCUGUAAGCCUGCGAAGGUGUGCUGUGAGGCAUGCUGGAGGUAUCAGAAGUGCGAAUGCUGACAUAAGUAACGAUAAAGCGGGUGAAAAGCCCGCUCGCCGGAAGACCAAGGGUUCCUGUCCAACGUUAAUCGGGGCAGGGUGAGUCGACCCCUAAGGCGAGGCCGAAAGGCGUAGUCGAUGGGAAACAGGUUAAUAUUCCUGUACUUGGUGUUACUGCGAAGGGGGGACGGAGAAGGCUAUGUUAGCCGGGCGACGGUUGUCCCGGUUUAAGCAUGUAGGCUGGUUGUCCAGGCAAAUCCGGAUAAUCAAGGCUGAGGUGUGAUGACGAGGCACUACGGUGCUGAAGUAACAAAUGCCCUGCUUCCAGGAAAAGCCUCUAAGCAUCAGGUAACAUCAAAUCGUACCCCAAACCGACACAGGUGGUCAGGUAGAGAAUACCAAGGCGCUUGAGAGAACUCGGGUGAAGGAACUAGGCAAAAUGGUGCCGUAACUUCGGGAGAAGGCACGCUGGUGUGUAGGUGAAGCCCCUGCGGGUGGAGCUGAGACCAGUCGAAGAUACCAGCUGGCUGCAACUGUUUAUUAAAAACACAGCACUGUGCAAACACGAAAGUGGACGUAUACGGUGUGACGCCUGCCCGGUGCCGGAAGGUUAAUUGAUGGGGUUAUCCGUAAGGAGAAGCUCUUGAUCGAAGCCCCGGUAAACGGCGGCCGUAACUAUAACGGUCCUAAGGUAGCGAAAUUCCUUGUCGGGUAAGUUCCGACCUGCACGAAUGGCGUAAUGAUGGCCAGGCUGUCUCCACCCGAGACUCAGUGAAAUUGAACUCGCUGUGAAGAUGCAGUGUACCCGCGGCAAGACGGAAAGACCCCGUGAACCUUUACUAUAGCUUGACACUGAACAUUGAGCCUUGAUGUGUAGGAUAGGUGGGAGGCUUUGAAGCGUGGACGCCAGUCUGCGUGGAGCCAACCUUGAAAUACCACCCUUUAAUGUUUGAUGUUCUAACGUUGGCCCCUGACCGGGGUUGCGGACAGUGUCUGGUGGGUAGUUUGACUGGGGCGGUCUCCUCCCAAAGCGUAACGGAGGAGCACGAAGGUUAGCUAAUCCUGGUCGGACAUCAGGAGGUUAGUGCAAUGGCAUAAGCUAGCUUGACUGCGAGCGUGACGGCGCGAGCAGGUGCGAAAGCAGGUCAUAGUGAUCCGGUGGUUCUGAAUGGAAGGGCCAUCGCUCAACGGAUAAAAGGUACUCCGGGGAUAACAGGCUGAUACCGCCCAAGAGUUCAUAUCGACGGCGGUGUUUGGCACCUCGAUGUCGGCUCAUCACAUCCUGGGGCUGAAGUAGGUCCCAAGGGUAUGGCUGUUCGCCAUUUAAAGUGGUACGCGAGCUGGGUUUAGAACGUCGUGAGACAGUUCGGUCCCUAUCUGCCGUGGGCGCUGGAGAAUUGAGGGGGGCUGCUCCUAGUACGAGAGGACCGGAGUGGACGCAUCACUGGUGUUCGGGUUGUCAUGCCAAUGGCACUGCCCGGUAGCUAAAUGCGGAAGAGAUAAGUGCUGAAAGCAUCUAAGCACGAAACUUGCCCCGAGAUGAGUUCU
RNAcentral lists this ribosomal RNA (2639 nucleotides) under Shigella boydii. RNAcentral describes it as "bacterial LSU rRNA". It matches the Rfam family "Bacterial large subunit ribosomal RNA". Lineage: Bacteria; Pseudomonadati; Pseudomonadota; Gammaproteobacteria; Enterobacterales; Enterobacteriaceae. The record is from RNAcentral.